GUCAUGGUGACGCGGACGGUUGACCUCACAAGACCGGGGUCGGCCAUGGCUACCAGCGUGAACGGCAGCGCUUCAGGUGGAUGGUGAUCAGAAGAAGCUGCAGACACAGAGAGCAGAAGAAUUAAAAUCAACGGGUAUCAAGUAAAUGCAAGAACAUGUGCUGAAGGGACGGCAGCUGGGAUGGAGGACGUGGAGCUUUCAGUUCUCCAUCCAUUAGCAGCUGACUGACAGAUCACCUCAGAUCACCUCCACAUGUUGACGGGUCCUUUAUAUCCACACCAAACCACAGCAGCUUCGCCUCCAUCAACACGCGUGAGAGCGAAAGGCUAAAUGUGAG
Molecule: long non-coding RNA, 337 nt
Organism: Amphiprion ocellaris (clown anemonefish)
Lineage: Eukaryota; Metazoa; Chordata; Actinopteri; Pomacentridae
Source: Ensembl